UACGGAGGGUGCAAACGUUGCUCGGAAUCAUUGGGCGUAAAGCGCACGUAGGCGGCCUGUUAAGUCGGGUGUGAAGGCCCUGGGCUCAACCCAGGAAGUGCACUCGAAACUGGCGGGCUUGAAUAUGGAAGAGGGUCGCGGAAUUCCCGGUGUAGAGGUGAAAUUCGUAGAUAUCGGGAGGAACACCAGUGGCGAAGGCGGCGACCUGGGCCAAUAUUGACGCUGAGGUGCGAAAGCGUGGGGAGCAAACAGG
Molecule: ribosomal RNA, 253 nt
Filed under: uncultured bacterium
Lineage: Bacteria
Description: partial 16S ribosomal RNA
Rfam family: Bacterial small subunit ribosomal RNA
Source: RNAcentral